This 77-nucleotide transfer RNA is filed under the name Pseudomonas sp. MWU12-2115. RNAcentral's name for it is "tRNA-Arg". It matches the Rfam family "tRNA". Rfam says of the family: Transfer RNA (tRNA) molecules are approximately 80 nucleotides in length. RNAcentral also lists the same sequence under 2 other names. Lineage: Bacteria; Pseudomonadati; Pseudomonadota; Gammaproteobacteria; Pseudomonadales; Pseudomonadaceae. The record is from RNAcentral.
GCACUCGUAGCUCAGCUGGAUAGAGUACUCGGCUACGAACCGAGCGGUCACAGGUUCGAAUCCUGUCGAGUGCGCCA